Molecule: ribosomal RNA, 293 nt
Filed under: uncultured bacterium
Lineage: Bacteria
Description: partial 16S ribosomal RNA
Rfam family: Bacterial small subunit ribosomal RNA
Source: RNAcentral
GUGCCAGCCGCCGCGGUAAUACGGGGGGAGCAAGCGUUGUUCGGAUUUACUGGGCGUAAAGGGCGCGUAGGCGGUCAGCACAAGUCAGUUGUGAAAUCUCCGGGCUUAACUCGGAAAGGUCAACUGAUACUGUGCGACUAGAGUGCAGAAGGGGCAACUGGAAUUCUCGGUGUAGCGGUGAAAUGCGUAGAUAUCGAGAGGAACACCUGCGGCGAAGGCGGGUUGCUGGGCUGACACUGACGCUGAGGCGCGAAAGCCAGGGGAGCGAACGGGAUUAGAAACCCUCGUAGUCC